AUUGAACGCUGGCGGCAGGCCUAACACAUGCAAGUCGAACGGUAACAGGAAGAAGCUUGCUUCUUUGCUGACGAGUGGCGGACGGGUGAGUAAUGUCUGGGAAACUGCCUGAUGGAGGGGGAUAACUACUGGAAACGGUAGCUAAUACCGCAUAACGUCGCAAGACCAAAGAGGGGGACCUUCGGGCCUCUUGCCAUCGGAUGUGCCCAGAUGGGAUUAGCUAGUAGGUGGGGUAACGGCUCAUCUAGGCGACGAUCCCUAGCUGGUCUGAGAGGAUGACCAGCCACACUGGAACUGAGACACGGUCCAGACUCCUACGGGAGGCAGCAGUGGGGAAUAUUGCACAAUGGGCGCAAGCCUGAUGCAGCCAUGCCGCGUGUAUGAAGAAGGCCUGCGGGUUGUAAAGUACUUUCAGCGGGGAGGAAGGGAGUAAAGUUAAUACCUUUACUCAUUGACGUUACCCGCAGAAGAAGCACCGGCUAACUCCGU
Molecule: ribosomal RNA, 489 nt
Filed under: uncultured bacterium
Lineage: Bacteria
Description: partial 16S ribosomal RNA
Rfam family: Bacterial small subunit ribosomal RNA
Source: RNAcentral